This is a non-coding RNA of Phrynosoma platyrhinos (Desert horned lizard), 72 nucleotides long. The record is from the annotation of a GenBank genome assembly. NCBI's taxonomy places the organism in Eukaryota, Metazoa, Chordata, Lepidosauria, Squamata, Phrynosomatidae.
ACCAGCAUGGCCUAGUGGUUUGAAUGUUAGACUCAGACUCUGGAGACCAGGGCUCGAUUCCCAGCUCAGCCA